GACGAACGCUGGCGGCGUGCUUAACACAUGCAAGUCGAACGGAAAGGCCCUGCUUGCAGGGUACUCGAGUGGCGAACGGGUGAGUAACACGUGGGUGAUCUGCCCUGCACUUCGGGAUAAGCCUGGGAAACUGGGUCUAAUACCGGAUAGGAGCCAUUUUUAGUGUGAUGGUUGGAAAGUUUUUUCGGUGUAGGAUGAGCUCGCGGCCUAUCAGCUUGUUGGUGGGGUAAUGGCCUACCAAGGCGGCGACGGGUAGCCGGCCUGAGAGGGUGGACGGCCACAUUGGGACUGAGAUACGGCCCAGACUCCUACGGGAGGCAGAGGUGGGGAAUAUUGCACAAUGGGCGCAAGCCUGAUGCAGCGACGCCGCGUGGGGGAUGACGGCCUUCGGGUUGUAAACUCCUUUCGCUAGGGACGAAGCUUUUUGUGACGGUACCUAGAUAAGAAGCACCGGCUAACUACGUG
This 465-nucleotide ribosomal RNA is filed under the name uncultured bacterium. RNAcentral's name for it is "partial 16S ribosomal RNA". It matches the Rfam family "Bacterial small subunit ribosomal RNA", at positions 28 to 507 of the family's 1533-position model. The record is from RNAcentral.